This 275-nucleotide long non-coding RNA is filed under the name Panax ginseng (ginseng). Its description in RNAcentral is "long non-coding RNA (PGIN_LNC004601)". Lineage: Eukaryota; Viridiplantae; Streptophyta; Magnoliopsida; Apiales; Araliaceae. The record is from RNAcentral.
AUUUUUUCAAAGUAUGCAAGUUGUUAUAAAAUAUUUGUUUGGUCGGGGAAUAUUCUUUUUGUCGGAGAAUAUCCAUAGGACGGCAUAAUCAUUGGUGGACCCCACAACGGAAGUAUUAUCAUAGUAAAGAAACGACAAAAUUAUCUUUUUAUAAAAAUAACAGCGAAAGUGUUACCGUUAAAACUGUUGAACUACUCGAUAGUAAAAGUACAGUAAUACGCGUGGUUGCAUAGUAGCACACGGUAUUGAUUAUUGAUGCUUACGUGAGAAGUUAC